AAAUCAGGUAGGACUACCCGCUGAACUUAAGCAUAUCAAUAAACCGGAGGCGA
Molecule: ribosomal RNA, 53 nt
Filed under: Thanatephorus cucumeris
Lineage: Eukaryota; Fungi; Basidiomycota; Agaricomycetes; Cantharellales; Ceratobasidiaceae
Description: partial 28S ribosomal RNA
Source: RNAcentral